UCAAACUGGUGCGCAGUGAUACUUGUGUGCCGUGCGCCAGCUCUCCUCGGGAAGAGAGAGGGAAAUAACAUUUAUUAUUGCCUAAAGGUCCUACUUCUGGUAGGCUCCUGACCCAGCACGUGCGGCACCAGAAGUAGCCACAAUCCCAGCUGCUGGGACGCUGGUUGAGUGGUAGUUUAGAAAAUGUCCACUUUCUGAAGAUGGAGUUCGCGGGACACUUCCACAAGGUGAUGGAUAGGCCCCGCACGCUUUGCAAUGCGCGCAAGCGACCCGUACCGUACCGGCGGCCAACCCCUCCCAGCCCCAGCUCGUGCAGCCUGGGAUCCUGGUCAUGCACCACAUCAAGUCACUCCAGCAGCUCAGAGCACUCAUCGGACAACUCCUGAGGGAAAGAAAUGACAGCUAUACAGAUCACAAAUGCAGCAGCAAUUGCUUUGUCAAAUCAUUCCAUCAUGCACUUUGCUGCUGGCAACACAACAGCUGCGCUAGUUGGCUCAUGCUCGAUUUAUGAAUUUCCCAAAGCAUAAUUUUCAUGAAAGUUCCAAUAUACAAAUGCCAACAAAAGCAACACUAAAGCUACGCAUUUUGGUCACUUCUGUGGCAGUGCGCUUGUUUGCAUUAAACAAGAGUGCCAAAGAGCAGAAUGGGCCUGCCUCCACAACAAGUGUGGUAUCAGAACAGGCGCAACCCCGUAUAUUGUCUGUUUUGCACCGAUAAAAAUGUAGUAGAGUAUGCCCCAAGAGAAGAUUCAGAACAGUGUUAAUUACAAAUAAGGCACUUUUAGAAGACCAUGCAUAGUAAUUAUGGUGCACACCCAUUGUCUGCUCCUUUUAUUAUUACACAGGCAAGAUAUCUUGUAGCACAGGCUGAUUCGGGACAACAAUGCUUAAGUGCACUUUCCUAUCUCUUAAAGAAGCAAAUGACAAAAUGGAACAGAAAAAUAAAUCAUUACAAAUUAGGAGGAAAACACGUUUGAAGUGUUGCUGCAUGUCUUGAAGUGCCACACCUCAAGCUUGUCUGUACAUAGUCUGGCCACCACUGUUCCCUUGUUCAACUUUUGCCUUCCGUUCUUGGCUCCUGUUACCAUGCACAUUAUUUUCUUUGUACAUGGUGCUUGCUUGCUGUAGGCUGCUAUUAUGCACAGCAAUAGAAGCCAGGAGACUGCAGCAGUCACAGGAAAACACAACAUUGCAAGCAAGCAGCACUGAAUUCAAAAAUUGUUCUUGAGCAAGUCAGCCGAUACAUGGAGAAGCACAGAUAAGAAGCACAUGCUGUUGUGUUCCUUGCUUAUCUGCACUAAAAUGGCUUUCACAGCAUGGGAUUGACAGAGGCAGGUUCAGCAAACAAGCUAGGUUCUUGCUUGCACUAAGUGAACCCGAUAUUUAAUUGGUUGCACAUCAUACUGCAACUUUCAUUUCCAGACACUAAGUAUUUUAGACAGGCUGUCCAGUCCGGCGUUCACACAUCA
Dermacentor silvarum is the source of this 1468-nucleotide long non-coding RNA. RefSeq lists it as uncharacterized. The transcript has 2 exons. The record is from RefSeq and is a predicted model, not a curated record. NCBI's taxonomy places the organism in Eukaryota, Metazoa, Arthropoda, Arachnida, Ixodida, Ixodidae.